UAUACUUUAUGUUAUGUCUAAUCUCUCAAACUAGCGUAGUAAUAGUAUUGCUUAGAUGAUUUCUAUUUUGUAUUCCUCUCAUCAAUUUUUCACAAUCCUAAUGGUUACUGUUACGGAAAUAGUUGGGGAUAGUUGUAAUUUAGCUGGCAAUGCAAGUGUCAAGCCCAUGUGUUCUAAUCCUCGGCUCUGAAUAUACGUGAUAUAUAUAUAAACAAUUCUAUUUUGAAUCUAAGAAAAGUAAUGAAAUUCGUGAGACAAUGAGCAAAAUGUCAGAAUCAACGAGUAAUCUACAACGCCUAUCCAGCAUGCCGGAGAUAAUGGAUUUAGUCAAACUUCUUCGUCAAAAUGGUGAUAAAGUUCUAAGUGCAUCGAGCAAGUUAUCUUUAUCUACUACAUUACUUUAUAACUUAAAUGAAGCAUUUUCAUUGAUCGUGGACGAUGCUGAAGAUUUGAAAUCUUCAUUUCAAGUUUGCAAUAGUUCCAAAAUAGACUUAUUUAGAGAUUUGAAAUUUUUGCAUGACUUUGUACAGAAAACAAUCGGUCUAAAGCUGACUCAUUACUCGGCGGCUAAUGCCAAAGUACAUGUUGAUAUUACCAAAUUUAGAAGCUUGAAAUAUUUGGAGUUAAAAAAAGUUAGUAUUAAUUUAGUAAAAGGAAUACAAGGAAUAAGAGGCCAAUUAGAAAGCAUUACGUGUGCUGGAAGACAGGGCAUUACUACUGUAGCACAAUUAUUAGCGACGUGUGGUGGAGAUGCCGGAGCAGGAUUCGUUUGGGGUUCCUUGAGGCACUUAUCAUUGCCUCACAAUGCUCUAGAACAAUUAGACAGAUCUUUUGAACUUACGCCAUGGCUACAAAUAUUAGAUUUGAGUCAUAAUUUACUAAACAAUGCAGGAGAACUCGAUUGCUUGCCUAAUCUAAAAUAUCUUAAUCUCGGAUAUAACAAAUUGGAAACGGUUCCUGCUUUUAAUAAAUCGACAAUGCAUUCUCUUCAAAUAUUAGUUUUAAAAAAUAAUUUCAUCGAAGAUAUCAGUGGCUUACAAGGAUUGGAGUGUUUAACGGAGAUUGACUUGUCAUUCAACUGCUUAACGGAACAUUCUGUCUUGUGGCCUAUCGAAAGGAUGUCAGCAUUGCUAUGGCUAUCUUUGGAAGGAAAUCCAUUGUCAUAUCAUCCAAAACAUAGAUUGUUAUCCAUUAAACAUUUACAUCCAUGUUUAAUCGAUAACAAGUUUGUCUUAGAUCAUUGGCCAUUGUCAAAAUCGGAAAGACUGCUUGUAGAAGACAACCGUGUUUUUCCAAUUAGAAACAUGCAGUCUAGCGUAUCGAGAGACAAUUUUGUUUCUUUGUCAGAUUCAACUACUUCCAAUAAUACAUUUUCAUCCAAUGACUCUUAUGUUUCUAAAGAUUUCUUAAUAAAAACCCCCCAGACUUCCAAUAUAAACGCUAGAGGGGAGAAAAAUUUUACCGCUGUAGGAAAAAGUAGAAAAAAGACAAACGUAAAAGAAGCUGUUAUCGCGGAAGAAGACCAGGAAAAAAAGGAUUCCAUGAAUAAAUCGGAAGUAUUAUCUUCUUCGCACUUAGAAACGAAGAAACAAAUAUUGGCAUUGCGAGAGAAAUUUGGCAAAGCAAACUGGCUAAGCAGUCAAGCUGGGACCUUCGUUCAAGAUAUUAUGGGUUUGCAAUCACCAUCACCUACGAUUAAUUAUCUCGUCGAUACAAAUUCAAUAUUAUCCGAAGACAAUCUUGAUAUAACAUCUUUGAUAGAUAAUAAGGAUUCGAAUCAUACUAAUUCAGAAAAUUUAAGCAAUCCUAUUGUCGUAAAUUGCAAUGACAAUGGAAAUGCUGAUAAAGUAGAAGAAACACACGAUAACGAAGCAUCCGAUAACGAAGCACCGAAUAAUGACAAUUUGACAAUUACUCUUGAAAAUCCUCCUGAAAUCAAUCCUUUGUUUGAUCUCGAAUUAGAAAAGGGUGAUCUGUAUCUAGUACAAAACAGGAAAAAUUCUAAUGAAAUGGAAGAAUUAUUUCUAGAACUAACGGCCGACGAUAUAAAGGAAAGAGAUACUACAAGUGGAAUAGUCAGAAAUUCUUGGUCGGCAGCAUCUGUUCUAUCGUGCGUAUUAGGAAGAGGUGAAAUACCUAUGGUGGACAUUAUAUUCGAUACGAAACGUAAAGAUAAACAGAACAGAAGAUAUUUUAUAGAAUUGGAAGACGCAAAAAAAAUCGUGUCAACGAUCAGUGAAAAGAUGAGUGCACACCCUAUACUAUUAAAAGUUUAUAAAUGCAUGAAGUGUUCGACGCAUUUCUCGGAUGACGAGGAACAUGCAGCUAUCAUUCUUAGAUCUGCAAUUGGUAUGAAGCAAUUGAAAUGUCCUACUUGCGCGAGUACAUUAGUUAUAGAGAUGAAUGAAUUUUCCGAAAUGCAUUCUAAAAGUGAAGAAACUCCAGCGCACAAAAACAAUAAAUCUAUGGAAAUGUCUGAAAUAAUUAAUUUGCAACAUUCUGAAUCUACUUCUAGUAUCGGCUCAGCAACUAGUUUAGAAGAAUCAAGAGAAUCCACGCCUUCGAUAAGUGCCAUAAUUAAAAAGUACGAAAGUGAUAUAGAAAUUCUUAGUAAUCCAAGUCAAAGUAGUAUCGAAGUUUUGGACGAAGCUUCAAAAGCUAAUUUAACUCCUAAUAGGAAGAGAUCGUCGGAAGAAAGAUCCGUAAGCAUUGCUCCUUCGCUUUUAACAGUUACGGAUGCAAUUGGUCCGGUUAUGGUUGGAUUAACUGAAAGUAGUUCUUCAGGUUCUUUAACUGAUAGCAUCUGCACAGCGUACGAAAAUAGAAACGUUAAAAAAUGUAAUAAUAACGAAAUCAAUUCUGGAAAAGAACCUGUACCCGUAGCAAAUAUAUCUACGAUGCUUGGAGAACUUUUACAAAGUAUCAAAAUAGGAAGUAAUAAAUCUUUACUAAUAAAGACUGAGGAAGAAAUAAACUCUUUAAAUAGCAGCGUGCAAUAUUCUUAUACGGAUUUCAGUAGUGUUGAUCAUAGAGUGAAGCUUCAUAUCAUUCUAAACGUCUUUGAACACGAAAGCGAAGAACUUGCUCUUCUUCUUAGGGCCGAUAUAUUGAUGCACGGUCUAAAGGAAGUAUUUCCAGGAUGUUUAGUUUUAUCUACAUCGAAGGUUUAUAUCCUUAAAAUUGAUGGACCAGAAGGGGAGGACCCUCAGCGUUGGUUACACAAAGAAUGUAGCUGGACAAUAGAUAAAUUGAGAUCUAUUGCUGCAUUGCCUUUUAAACAAGGCGUUCUAGUAGAGUUACAACAGUCAAUAACAAUGAACGAAGAGUACGUCAGCAUUGGUUUAUUAUGCAUAUUACAAGAUUUUCAGAGAACAUCGAAUUUUUUAUUUUAUAUAACAGACCCUCCGCUACCUGCUAGUUGCGAAGUCGAAUUUUCUGUACCAGAACAUUGCAGUACUUUAAUGCACAGUUUAUUAUCAGGUAUUAAAAAAGAUGAAAAUGGUGAUGAUACUGUUAGAAUUCUAGCGCUCUUUUCUUCUGCGGUACUGAAAUGUCAUAAUAAUACUAUGAUGACCAAGUACUCUGGACUCUUAAUAACAGCAUCUACCUUAAUAAUAUUAGAGGAUAAUAUGCAAUGGCUUUUACCAAAUACUAAAGUAGUGCCAGUAAUAUUAAAAGAACAAACUAUGAGUAAUUUAAUGGGAAUCGAACGCUGCGAUACGAUGUUGGUUUUAAAUUUCCUAAACGAGAUUGCAGGCUCGGAAGAAACAUGGAGCUUGGAGUUUAUUUCUGUAGGUGCUGCCGAGGCUGUCAUUAAUUCAAUACAAUCGCCAUGGGAAGAACUGUUUUCAGUACCCCUCCAAGUUACUACCAAAUCAAUACUAGAUAGUGACAAAUCUUAAAAAAGGUUGUUUCUAUUGACUAAUCUUUGAUUGAUAAUAAUAAGCUGUGCCACAAAAUAUGAUGGAGAGAUUUUCAAUUGAAAUGCGUAUAAAAGUAAUCAUGAAUCAUUAGGAUUACACAAGAAAUUUUCUACUAAUUGACAAAUUCUUCUAGUUUCAAUUUUAAACGCGUAAAAGUCAAACGUUCACACAUAAAGUCACAAAUAUAUAACUUGAAAUAUUUUUACUAUCAACUUUCUAACUUCUUCAUAUUUUUUUGCAUUAUUGAUAAUCUAUUAUACUUGUCCAGAGAUUCAUAAAAUAAGGCGAUGUGGUAUUUAUCUUAAUACAUUAGACAAUGAAAUCAAAUAUCGUAGCGUCAGUUGCAUUUGAUAUUUUUUAUGGAAAUAUUGCACAAGCGUAGGUAACGAUGAUUGGAAAAGUUGAUCGAGUUUUUUUCUCUUGUAACAUAACAAAUUUUAUUAUUAUUUAUAAUUGAUAGAUAUUUACAUCUUGAGAAUUGAGCACUAUUUAUAAAGGGAACAACAAACUAACUAUACUGUACUAUACUAUACUAUACUAUAUACAUCUUAUUUUGUACAACUCAUUUGGCUGUGGUAUAUGUAAUAUUUUGAAGAUGUAACUAUAACUGUACAUAUAUCCUAAAAAUUAUUAAUACUAUAACUUAUUUUUAUACUCAGAAAUAUAAAAUCGGUAAUGUUCUCAAUUGACAAUCUUAUCAAUGCGUUGAUAUAAUUUCACUAAAUUAUAUCGUAAAAGAAGUGUUGGACUUGUGUCUUAGCGUAAAUGCAAUAUAAUACCUCGAUCUUACGCAAAAAUGUUUGAAUAUAUGCGUAGGCGUUAAAUCAUUACCCUGGAAGGGAGAGCGCAUUACCUUCAACAAAGAUAAGUACGAUCCAACAAUACCAUCAUCAUGAAAGAUUUUGGAAGACUGUGCAAAAUUUUAUUUACAUUGGGAAAGAAUCAGAGAUAUAAAUAUCCUAUCAAAAAAUACGAAAAAGGAAUGCCUCUUAAUUAUUACAAAUUUCAACAUCACUUUGAAAUACAUUUUAAUGGGCAGUUCAAUUCUUCACGUGUACAAAAUGUAUUGUCGAACAUUGUACUGGGUAAUUGAAAACAUUAUUAUGCAUUGACUGACAUUUAAUAAUAUAAAGAAAACUACUUUUUUUUAUCUAAGAGAUUGUCAUAGCAACAAUGUCGUUGAUAUAAAUGAUUGAAAAAAUGUCUUACUAGCACAAUACUAAAAAGUUAGAGAAUAAAAUUAACAGAAAAUCAAAUUCAA
This 5184-nucleotide unclassified non-coding RNA is filed under the name Polistes fuscatus (common paper wasp). Its description in RNAcentral is "serine/threonine-protein kinase 11-interacting protein, transcript variant X5". Lineage: Eukaryota; Metazoa; Arthropoda; Insecta; Hymenoptera; Vespidae. The record is from RNAcentral.